RNAcentral lists this long non-coding RNA (713 nucleotides) under Felis catus (domestic cat). RNAcentral describes it as "lncRNA (ENSFCAG00000048726.1)". Lineage: Eukaryota; Metazoa; Chordata; Mammalia; Carnivora; Felidae. The record is from RNAcentral.
AAGACUUGCUUGGGAUAUGAACUAGAUGAUUUCAUGUCUACUUUUAAUUAAUAACCAAGGCACCACAGCCUAUUGCAUCUGAGUAGGGAGCAGCACAUUUAGUUUUUCCAUUUGGCGGUGUUACAUUAAGUCUUCUUUAAGGGCUUUCCCCCCGCUUUCUGUCGUUUUUUUUCACUUCUUUUUUUUCCCCUUAGUAUCUGCUGGCUAAAGGAGGGAGGGCCAUUUUUACCUAAAAUCCACUUUGCUUUUGGCUCCCUGGACAGAAUGUCCUUGGAGUGGCACCAAGCUCUGGCUAAAGCUCUCUUCCUGCAGAUGCAUAGGGAGUCCCUGACCCCGUGACGUUUGGGAACAAGUGGAACUCGUGCAGAGGCAUCCAGGUAUUUCCAGAGACUGACGAGCGAGGUCUGCAAUCGCUUCCUAACAGCAGGCACGAAGGAGAUCAAGUACUGUUCAUGAAAAAAGCCCAGCCGGCAAGUUUGCCUCGUGAGCGUGUGAACUACGAAUCGCCACGGCGAAGAGAUCAAUGUGGAUAAUCUCAAAAUAACAGUGCCUCUCUUACUGUAAGCAUUUUAGAUGUGUCAUCAUAUUAAUCUUUUGCCCUUUACUAUUUCCGUUAAUUAAUUUUGCCCUUUAACUUUUGCUGAUCAAUGUGGACUAAAUUGUAAUUGCAACAUUUCUAUGAAAUAAUACAAAAUUAAGGCUGAUAGUAGCAU